This is a long non-coding RNA of Notolabrus celidotus (New Zealand spotty), 1112 nucleotides long. RefSeq lists it as uncharacterized. Lineage: Eukaryota; Metazoa; Chordata; Actinopteri; Labriformes; Labridae. The record is from RefSeq and is a predicted model, not a curated record. The transcript has 2 exons.
UGUUUUUUAGGUCCUUAUUUACUCUUACUCAAGUACUUAUUUCUACGAGUACUGUUACUUCUACUUGAGUAACAUCAUUGUAAAGUAACUUUUACUUGAGGACUGUUUCGGUUGACUCUACCCACCUCUGGUCAUUUCUCAAGCAGCAGAUCACAGAUUGUUUGACGUCACGGACCUAGCUUGAUUGUUUCCAUGACUCACGUCGCUUCAGUCUCUGCCGUCCAAAGUAGUUAACUUACCAAGUCAAAGUUAGUUUAAACUUGAUUUUCUGUUUCUUUCUGAAGUUCUCAUUAAAAAUCACUUUAAAAGCCAUCUUCUGUUGUUGAACGGCAGACUAACGAGGCCGUUAGCAUUCUGCUAAUCAACGGUCGGCAGGUUUCAAACGGACCGGUCCAUGGAGCGGGUCAGCUUCAGCCCGUUAGCCUCCAAAGCAACGUAGGGAGGGGGGGUUAGAAAGACAUCCAUUAUAAAAACGGCCUUCUGACAGUUUACAGCUUGUUUUUAACUCUUUAUCUUAUUAAAGGUAAAACCAUUACAACAUCAUCAAAACAAUACCAACUCUGUGAGGCAGGUGGAGUGGCACCGACCGUCCUUACCCCCCCUCUCCUCUUCAGAUGGAUCCGUCCAUGAAGGGUCAGAGGUCAAGGGUGAAAUAAUAAAGUGAUAUCAGAACAGAGUGAGCAGAGAUGAAUGAAAACACAAUUAAACUGGAUCAUAAAGGACCAGAGGAAAGGGACUGCAAACGGACUACAGAGAGGUGUGAAUCUUCCGAUGUUUAUCACCAACAGGAAGACAUGUGGACCUGGAGCCAGAAGACUGAUGCAUUUUAUCAUCUCUUCAUGAACCUCUUCAUUGGACAGAGUCGUGUCAAACAGACCAGGAGUGUCGACCACAGUGACAGGACAACCGUUCACUUCACCUUCUGCUUUCUGACAGAAUUUAGUGACGGAUGUUUGGAAAGAUUUAGCUUUAAACUCCUUUCUUCCUAGAAUGGUGUUUCCUGAAGAACUCUUCCCACAGCCGGUCUUCCCGAUCAGCACAAUCCUGAGACCCUCUGAGCUCUGCUUCUCAUCAUCAUCUGUAAAACAUAAAAUCAAAGGUUUACCUUUAAA